This 383-nucleotide ribosomal RNA is filed under the name uncultured eukaryote. Its description in RNAcentral is "partial 18S ribosomal RNA". It matches the Rfam family "Eukaryotic small subunit ribosomal RNA", at positions 592 to 976 of the family's 1831-position model. The record is from RNAcentral.
CAAUAGCGUAUAUUAAAGUUGUUGCAGUUAAAAAGCUCGUAGUUGGAUUUCUGGUGGGAGCGAUCGGUCUGGCGCUUAGCGCGAGUACUUGCAUCGUCUCCGGCCAUCCUUGGGGAGAGUCUGUCUGGCAUUAGGUUGUCGGGCAGAGGAUCUUCAUCGUUUACUGUGAAAAAAUUAGAGUGUUCAAAGCAGGCUUAUGCCGUUGAAUAUAUUAGCAUGGAAUAAUAAGAUAGGACUUUGGUACUAUUUUGUUGGUUUGCGCACCAAAGUAAUGAUUAAUAGGGACAGUUGGGGGUAUUCGUAUUCCGUUGUCAGAGGUGAAAUUCUUGGAUUUACGGAAGACGAACUACUGCGAAAGCAUUUACCAAGGAUGUUUUCAUUGA